RNAcentral lists this ribosomal RNA (497 nucleotides) under uncultured bacterium. RNAcentral's name for it is "partial 16S ribosomal RNA". It matches the Rfam family "Bacterial small subunit ribosomal RNA", at positions 28 to 507 of the family's 1533-position model. The record is from RNAcentral.
GAUGAACGCUGGCGGCGUGCCUAAUACAUGCAAGUCGAGCGAACAGACGAGGAGCUUGCUCCUCUGAUGUUAGCGGCGGACGGGUGAGUAACACGUGGAUAACCUACCUAUAAGACUGGGAUAACUUCGGGAAACCGGAGCUAAUACCGGAUAAUAUAUUGAACCGCAUGGUUCAAUAGUGAAAGACGGUCUUGCUGUCACUUAUAGAUGGAUCCGCGCUGCAUUAGCUAGUUGGUAAGGUAACGGCUUACCAAGGCGACGAUGCGUAGCCGACCUGAGAGGGUGAUCGGCCACACUGGAACUGAGACACGGUCCAGACUCCUACGGGAGGCAGCAGUAGGGAAUCUUCCGCAAUGGGCGAAAGCCUGACGGAGCAACGCCGCGUGAGUGAUGAAGGUCUUCGGAUCGUAAAACUCUGUUAUUAGGGAAGAACAAAUGUGUAAGUAACUAUGCACGUCUUGACGGUACCUAAUCAGAAAGCCACGGCUAACUACGUG